RNAcentral lists this ribosomal RNA (253 nucleotides) under uncultured bacterium. RNAcentral describes it as "partial 16S ribosomal RNA". It matches the Rfam family "Bacterial small subunit ribosomal RNA", at positions 524 to 776 of the family's 1533-position model. The record is from RNAcentral.
UACGUAGGGUGCGAGCGUUGUCCGGAAUUAUUGGGCGUAAAGAGCUUGUAGGCGGUUUGUCGCGUCUGCCGUGAAAAUCCGGGGCUCAACCCCGGACUUGCGGUGGGUACGGGCAGACUAGAGUGUGGUAGGGGAGACUGGAAUUCCUGGUGUAGCGGUGAAAUGCGCAGAUAUCAGGAGGAACACCGAUAGCGAAGGCAGGUCUCUGGGCCACUACUGACGCUGAGAAGCGAAAGCGUGGGGAGCGAACAGG